AAGUUCUGGUGCCAGCAUCUGCGGUAAUUCCAGCUCCAAUAGCGUAUAUGUAAAUUGUUGCGGUUGAAAAGCUCGUAGUUGGACUUCUGGCGUCCGGAUUUGGUCCGCCUCGAGCGAGYACUGGAUCCGGUCGUCGUUUGUGUCGACGAGGUUCGUCGGACUUCACUGGCUGGCGUUCUCCAGUCGACAGGGUUACUUUGAGGAAAUCAGAGUGCUCAAGGCAAGCGCACGCUCGUGACUUCACUAGCAUGGAAUAACACAGAUGGGCUCUUUUUCGCAACGUUGGUCUGCGUCAAUUGAGCAACGAUCGAUAGAGACGGUCGGGGGCAUUCGUAUUGCGCAGUUAGAGGUGAAAUUCUCCGAUCUGCGCAAGACGCACUAAUGCGAAAGCAGUUGCCAAGGACGUCCUCUUAUGAUCAAGAGCGAAAGUCGGGGGAUCAAAGAUGAUUAGAUACCGUCGUAGUCCCGACCAUAAAUGAUGCCGACUGAGCGUCGGCGACUCGGCCAUCGGCCGUACGUCGGCGCUCUUGAGAGAAAUUAAAGUCUUUGGGCUCCGGGGGUAGUAUGGU
Molecule: ribosomal RNA, 569 nt
Filed under: Kraftalia crassa
Lineage: Eukaryota; Viridiplantae; Chlorophyta; Ulvophyceae; Bryopsidales; Halimedaceae
Description: bacterial SSU rRNA
Source: RNAcentral